This 526-nucleotide ribosomal RNA is filed under the name uncultured bacterium. Its description in RNAcentral is "partial 16S ribosomal RNA". It matches the Rfam family "Bacterial small subunit ribosomal RNA", at positions 356 to 900 of the family's 1533-position model. The record is from RNAcentral.
UGGGAAUAUUGGACAAUGGGGCAACCCUGAUCCAGCAAUGCCGCGUGUGUGAAGAAGGUCUUCGGAUUGUAAAGCACUUUCGACGGGGACGAUGAUGACGGUACCCGUAGAAGAAGCCCCGGCUAACUUCGUGCCAGCAACCGCGGUAAUACGAAGGGGGCUAGCGUUGCUCGGAAUGACUGGGCGUAAAGGGCGUGUAGGCGGUUUACACAGUCAGAUGUGAAAUCCCCGGGCUUAACCUGGGAGCUGCAUUUGAUACGUGUAGACUAGAGUGUGAGAGAGGGUUGUGGAAUUCCCAGUGUAGAGGUGAAAUUCGUAGAUAUUGGGAAGAACACCGGUGGCGAAGGCGGCAACCUGGCUCAUGACUGACGCUGAGGCGCGAAAGCGUGGGGAGCAAACAGGAUUAGAUACCCUGGUAGUCCACGCUGUAAACGAUGUGUGCUAGAUGUUGGGUAACUUUGUUAUUCAGUGUCGCAGUUAACGCGUUAAGCACACCGCCUGGGGAGUACGGCCGCAAGGUUGAAAA